GCCAGACUCCUACGGGAGGCAGCAGUGAGGAAUAUUGGUCAAUGGACGAGAGUCUGGACCAGCCAAGUAGCGUGAAGGAUGACUGCCCUAUGGGUUGUAAACUUCUUUUAUAUGGGAAUAAAAUGUUCCACGUGUGGGAUUUUGUAUGUACCAUAUGAAUAAGGAUCGGCUAACUCCGUGCCAGCAGCCGCGGUAAUACGGAGGAUCCGAGCGUUAUCCGGAUUCAUUGGGUUUAAAGGGUGCGUAGGUUGUUUUAUAAGUUAGCGGUGAAAUACCGAUGCUCAACAUCGGGGCUGCCGCUAAUACUGUAGGACUAGAGAUCGGAUGCAGCAGGCGGAAUGUGUAGUGUAGCGGUGAAAUGCAUAGAUAUCACGCAGAACUCCGAUUGCGGAGGCAGCUUACUAAACUAUAACUGACACUGAAGCACGAAAGCGUGGGGAUCAAACAGGAUUAGAUACCCGCGUACUC
Molecule: ribosomal RNA, 468 nt
Filed under: uncultured bacterium
Lineage: Bacteria
Description: bacterial SSU rRNA
Rfam family: Bacterial small subunit ribosomal RNA
Source: RNAcentral